This 615-nucleotide ribosomal RNA is filed under the name Triticum aestivum (bread wheat). Its description in RNAcentral is "partial small subunit ribosomal RNA". Lineage: Eukaryota; Viridiplantae; Streptophyta; Magnoliopsida; Poales; Poaceae. The record is from RNAcentral.
AAUAUGUCACCUGGAACAUGGGACAUUGAAAAGACAAUAGCAAUGUGUGUCCAAGAAGAGGACAGACUCAAAGCCACACAUGGUGGUUCAAUCAACUAUGUGAAGGAUUGGAAGAAAAAGAACUACAAUCAAAACAUCAAAAGUUCUCCUUCAAAGAAUGGAAAAGCCCCCUAUCAGCAUCAGCAUAAGCAACAGCCUUUCUCAGUGGACAAAGACAUGUGUCUCCACUGCAAGCAGAAAGGGCAUUACAAGAAAGACUGCGCUGCUUGGCUGAAGUCAGUCAUGGAAAAAAGAGGUAACAAUAUAGUUUCAUUUGUCAAUGAAUCCUUGUAUACACAGUUUUCAAAAUCCACUUGGUGGAAUGAUUCCGGAGCAACUGUUCAUGUUGCAAAUUCUUUACAGGGAUUCCAUUCGACGCGAACUACGCUAAGAAGCGAAAGACGCAUUGAAGUGGCAAACGGAGUUGAAGCAGAAGUUGAAGCUGUCGGUGAUAUCUCCUUGGAGUUAGCUGGCGGAUUCAAUCUUCUACUUGGAGAUGUUUUAUUUGUCCCAUCAUGUCAUAGAAACUUAAUUAGUGUUUCUUGCUUGGACAAAGAUAAUUAUGAAUGUCAUUUU